CAUUUUUCUCUUUUUGUGAGUGUGUAUGUGUAUGCUUCUUUGUGUGAUUUUUGUAUAGCUUUGUUUUCACCAUUUGUCCUAGGAUUGUGUCUGUCUAUUUCUUUUUUUUUUUUUUCAGUAUAGUUUUUAGCGCUUGUUAUCAUUGGUGGAUUUGUUUUUUGGUUUGGUUGCUCUCUUUUUUUUUUCCUUUUCUUUUUAUUUUAAAAUUUUUUAAUUUUUAAUAAUUUUUUAAAUUUUUUAUUUUAAUAAUUUUCUUUUUCUUUUUUUUUUUCAUUCUUCUGUCUCCCUUUUCUUCUGAGCUGUGUAGCUGACAGGGUCUUGGUGCUCCAGCUGGGUGUCAGGCCUGUGCCUCCGAGGUGGGAGAGCCAAGUUCAGAACAUUGGUCCACUAGAGACCUGGCUAUGCAUAAUAUCAAAUGGCGAAAGCUGUCCCAGAGAUCUCCAUCUCAAUGCUAAGACCCAGCUCCACUCAACGACCAGCAAGCUACAGUGGUGGACACCCCAUGCCAAACAACUAGCAAGACAGGAACACAACCCCCACCCAUUAGCAGAGAGGCUGCCUAAAAUCAUAAUAAGGUCACAGACACCCCAAAACACACCACGAGAUGCGGUCCUGCCCACCAGAAAGACAAGAUCCAGCCUCAACCACCACAACACAAGCACCAGUCCCCUCCACCAGUAAGCCUACACAACCCACUGAACCAACCUUAGCUACUGGGGACAGACACCAAAAACAACGGGAACUACGAACCUUCAGCCUGCGAAAAGGAGACCCCAAACACAAGACAGCACUACACAUAUGCAAGAGGGAACCCGUGUCUCCAGGGUAACCCCAGAACCAACAAUCUUCAGUCCACGGAACUUGGAGAAUAAAAUUGUUACCCCGGAGCCCUUUACAAAACAAGGAUUCCUUCAAUGAAGAAAAUCUGGCUUCCAGCAGCAGGAGUAGUUUCUAUGGACUAAUUCAAGACUAGCCAGUCAGCUUCCGGGUUUGAAAUUCCCCUAUCCCCUUAAUUUUUGCCUCAAACCCUGGAUCUAUGAAACAGGUUUGAGAACCUUGCCUCCUGUCUCCUUGCCGGUCAACCUGGCAAUAAAGGUCUUUCUCUUCUCAAAA
Long non-coding RNA from Orcinus orca (killer whale), 1113 nucleotides. RefSeq lists it as uncharacterized. The transcript is spliced from 2 exons. NCBI's taxonomy places the organism in Eukaryota, Metazoa, Chordata, Mammalia, Artiodactyla, Delphinidae. The record is from RefSeq and is a predicted model, not a curated record.